GGGUUGUGAGGUUAAGCGACUAAGCGUACACGGUGGAUGCCCUGGCAGUCAGAGGCGAUGAAGGACGUGCUAAUCUGCGAUAAGCGCCGGUAAGGUGAUAUGAACCGUUAUAACCGGCGAUUUCCGAAUGGGGAAACCCAGUGUGAUUCGUCACACUAUCAUUAACUGAAUCCAUAGGUUAAUGAGGCGAACCGGGGGAACUGAAACAUCUAAGUACCCCGAGGAAAAGAAAUCAACCGAGAUUCCCCCAGUAGCGGCGAGCGAACGGGGAGGAGCCCAGAGCCUGAAUCAGCAUGUGUGUUAGUGGAAGCGUCUGGAAAGGUGCGCGAUACAGGGUGACAGCCCCGUACACAAAAGCGCAUGUGCUGUGAGCUCGAUGAGUAGGGCGGGACACGUGGUAUCCUGUCUGAAUAUGGGGGGACCAUCCUCCAAGGCUAAAUACUCCUGACUGACCGAUAGUGAACCAGUACCGUGAGGGAAAGGCGAAAAGAACCCCGGCGAGGGGAGUGAAAAAGAACCUGAAACCGUGUACGUACAAGCAGUGGGAGCACAGGUUUACCUGUGUGACUGCGUACCUUUUGUAUAAUGGGUCAGCGACUUAUAUUCUGUAGCAAGGUUAACCGUAUAGGGGAGCCGUAGGGAAACCGAGUCUUAACCGGGCGUUAAGUUGCAGGGUAUAGACCCGAAACCCGGUGAUCUAGCCAUGGGCAGGUUGAAGGUUGGGUAACACUAACUGGAGGACCGAACCGACUAAUGUUGAAAAAUUAGCGGAUGACCUGUGGCUGGGGGUGAAAGGCCAAUCAAACCGGGAGAUAGCUGGUUCUCCCCGAAAGCUAUUUAGGUAGCGCCUCGUGAAUUCAUCUCCGGGGGUAGAGCACUGUUUCGGCUAGGGGGCCAUCCCGGCUUACCAACCCGAUGCAAACUGCGAAUACCGGAGAAUGUUAUCACGGGAGACACACGGCGGGUGCUAACGUCCGUCGUGAAGAGGGAAACAACCCAGACCGCCAGCUAAGGUCCCAAAGUCAUGGUUAAGUGGGAAACGAUGUGGGAAGGCCCAGACAGCCAGGAUGUUGGCUUAGAAGCAGCCAUCAUUUAAAGAAAGCGUAAUAGCUCACUGGUCGAGUCGGCCUGCGCGGAAGAUGUAACGGGGCUAAACCAUGCACCGAAGCUGCGGCAGCGAACGUAUCACCCAAGACAACUUUACGGAGUUGACGAUUGACGGAGCGAAGCGACGUCAAAGCGUUCAUUAAAGUCGAGUUGGCUUAGGGAUACGUUCGUUGGGUAGGGGAGCGUUCUGUAAGCCUGUGAAGGUGUGUCGUGAGGCAUGCUGGAGGUAUCAGAAGUGCGAAUGCUGACAUAAGUAACGAUAAAGCGGGUGAAAAGCCCGCUCGCCGGAAGACCAAGGGUUCCUGUCCAACGUUAAUCGGGGCAGGGUGAGUCGACCCCUAAGGCGAGGCCGAAAGGCGUAGUCGAUGGGAAACGGGUUAAUAUUCCCGUACUUGGUGUUACUGCGAAGGGGGGACGGAGAAGGCUAUGUUGGCCGGGCGACGGUUGUCCCGGUUUAAGCGUGUAGGUGUGUGUUCCAGGUAAAUCCGGUUCACUUUAACACUGAGGCGUGACGACGAGGCACUACGGUGCUGAAGCAACAAAUGCCCUGCUUCCAGGAAAAGCCUCU
Molecule: ribosomal RNA, 1675 nt
Filed under: Salmonella enterica subsp. enterica serovar Typhimurium
Lineage: Bacteria; Pseudomonadati; Pseudomonadota; Gammaproteobacteria; Enterobacterales; Enterobacteriaceae
Description: partial 23S ribosomal RNA
Rfam family: Bacterial large subunit ribosomal RNA
Source: RNAcentral